CGGCCCCGCCAGGCGCCCGGGCCCUUUGCACGCGGCGCCCCGCUCUGCGCCGGCCUCCCGGGGAGGCGCGCGGGGCGUUUUGCACGCGGGGCGUUUUGCACGCGGGACGUUUUGCACGCGGGGCGUUUUGCACGCGGCGCCCGGCUCUGCGCUGCGGCCCGGCGCGCUGCCGGCGGGAGGUUUGCACACAGCGCUCUGCUCCUCGCUGUGCAGAGCGGGGCAGCGCGGCCGAGGUUUGCACGCAGCACCCUGCCCUCGCUCGGCGUCCCGCGCCCGGGGAGGUUUGCACGCGUCGCCCCGGCCGGGCGCAGCGCAGCCUGCACGCGCCGUCCGCCCCGGGCCGCGCGCCCGGCYCUGCGGGGGUCGCCCUCGCCCGCACGCCGGCACCGUGCGCAGGGGCUCCGCACCCGCCCCCUCCCCGCGGCCGCAUAAGGAGGAGGCAGAGGCCGCGGGCAGCAAACCGCCCGCCUGGCCGAGGGGCCCCGUGCCGCAGCGCUGCGCCAGCCAUGGACCCCCGGGACUGCGCCUGCGAGGCCGGCUGCUGCUCCUGCUGCCCGGGUGGCUGCAAGAACUGCGCCGCGGGCUGCAUCUGCGAGGACCCGUCGUCUCCAAGAUGUACCUGCUGUCAGUGACGCGGCUGGCGGCUUCCCGCUCCCWUGGGAAUAUUUUCUGUGUGAAAAUCCUGGUUUUGUAACUUUUUCACCGGUGUGGUAGCUGCCGUCAGCCUCGGCGCGCCUGGGCGUAGCGCGAAGGUGAUGGGAAUAAAGGCUUGAUGCAAGACGUGGAUGCGGGGUUU
RNAcentral lists this long non-coding RNA (796 nucleotides) under Dromaius novaehollandiae (emu). RNAcentral's name for it is "lncRNA (ENSDNVG00000000263.1)". Lineage: Eukaryota; Metazoa; Chordata; Aves; Casuariiformes; Dromaiidae. The record is from RNAcentral.